This 452-nucleotide long non-coding RNA is filed under the name Gallus gallus (chicken). The record is from RNAcentral. Lineage: Eukaryota; Metazoa; Chordata; Aves; Galliformes; Phasianidae.
UGGCUCCACUGCUUUUGCAGCCCCAUCCUUAGACAGGCGUUCAGCCUGUCUGUUCACCGCAUUCAGAUCUUCCUUCUUCUUCUCCAACUCUCCACCAAUCUCCUUUAGCUUCUGCUCAUCUUUGUGGUCUGGUAGACUGGCUAACUUUUUCUCAAUGUCAUCCAGCCAUGUCAUUAGGUCAUCAGCCUGCCUCUUGUACUGAUACCAUUGAUGAGAAAUCUCUAAAGCCUUUUUUCUUCUUUGAGACCUCAAGUCCUUGAGAGCAUUAUGUUUAGUCUGCAACAGCUGUUGUUUUAUCUUUAUUUCCUCCCGUUUUCUCUCAUCUGUGAUUCUUUUCUGAAGCGUGUCGCCCCUUUGCAGCAAUUCUUUCACUGUGCUCUCAUCAUCUUCACUCAUAUCUUUAUUGAAGUCCUCCUCUUUCAGAUUCACCCCCUGCUGAAUUUCAACCUCCA